AUGUUAGUAUAAUUUGGAAAUCCCUCCAGAAAUGCAGAAAUACAGAUCUCAUUUCCCCCAAAAACCAAAUGGGGGCUUUUCCAGCCUACCCGACGCCCUCUUCCCAAAAUCACUUCUCCGGCAAGUUUGAUGCGGUGAUUUUCCCUCUCCCUUCCAAACUCGGCUCUUUUCUCUUUCGUAUCUCCUCUCCUUCGUAUCUAGCCAAAAUCUAUGCAUCUACCCAAACCCUAGUGAAUCGAUUAAAUGCAAACAACUCAAAUUUUUUGCUUUCUUCUCUGAAGAGGCAAAAACCCUAACCCCUUUGUCUACCAUUCCUUCAACCAUUUUGGUAUUCAGGUUGCUGUUCUUCAUAAUUCCUGACUUGCUGGUGAGGGUUUAGAUCUUCAUUAUGCAGAGGGUAAAUCGCACAAAAUCCAGACAGGCAACCUCCCUCUUCCACCUUAUUCUGUAUAUGUUUUUCAUAUGUAGCUGAUUGAUGUUUUCGGAAUUUCCAUUUUCAUAUUGGUGAAUGUGCUUGAGUAGCGUAUGUGCCUUCCUUUUUUCCUUUUUAUGUGAUGCCUUCUUGAUCUGUCUAAUCUUCUUUAUACUUGUUAGGAUUGAAGUUCUUAGGUGUCAGAGAAAUUUGUUGAAUCUUGCUCUUGAAAACAAUGUAUUCAUUUUCUUUUAGCCUCUAUCUUAUGAAAUGUAAAUGAUUGUAUUUUUUUUCUUACUGUUUUAAACAAAAGAAAAAGUAAAGCAUGUAUUCUUUUGGCUUUCUUUUGUAACGGAAAGUUUAAUUAUUGGUAGAGCACUCCAGUAAAUAUCAUUGUAGCUUCUCAUGUGUGGAUUGAGGACCAACCAAUGUUGCUUGGUUUGUUGGAGAAAGGUAAAUAUGUUAGUAUUACCUUGUUGAUUGGUGGUGGAUGUAGUUGAUGUUAGAUGGUAGUUAUGGGUCGUUCAAAGUUUAGAUACUCUAGCAGUUCUAUGUCCAUAUACUCAUGAGUUUGUUGUGUCCUUGUUACUAGCUGUCCUUAUUUUUAUGCAUUUCUGCAGAAUAUUGAACAGGGAAAGAGCUGCAAACUAAUAUGUUAUGUACAUUCACAAGAAUCAAUUAAUCUAUCUGUAGCUUUAACCGGUUCAAAUAGACUAAAGAAGCUGGGUACUUUCUGAAAUAGUAUAAGUAUCAUAUACUAUAUAUGUAGUUGUCUAUAUUUUCCAACUUUUCAACUAGUUUAUGUGAAUUGCGUAGCAUUACGAGCUGAUGGACCAGGGCAUUGUGGUUUAUUUAUAAUAGAAUCAAAGUUAGUAUCUUAGAUAAUAUUAACAUAUUGUAGGACAUAGGAUAUACAUGCUAGUUAAAUUUCAGAAAAGUUAAUCAUCAAUGGACCAUUAUUCCAUGUUUGUGCUCUUAUUUUACUACGUUUUAUUUUGCCAUGUGCUUCUGUGAAGUUCUUCCCGAUCCAUCUAUAUGGAUAACCUUCCAUUUGAGCGUCUUUGAUGAUCUUGUUCAAUGUGAAUAAAUUUAUUACUAUGUAUGUCUGUAGAGUGCUGUUUUGUCGAAGGUAAGUAGUAGGAAAUGCAUUUCGAUGGAAAGAAACCAUCAGACCAUGGGUAAAGAGGCAUGAGCAUUUUUAGCGAUGGUUACCACUACGGUGAUGGUUAUUCUUGGGACGUGCUUCCUUCUAAGGUUAGCUUCUUGGUUGUUGCAAUUAUCACACAAAUCAAAUAUAAUGGACUGAAGAAAUUCAGCUUAUAAAUGGUUAACCUCUCUAGUAGACUAAAUUGAAUAAUGAAUGUCUUUGUUAAUUUUUGGAGCUGCUUUUAGAAGUUAGUAUACAUUUAUGGUGCCUGAAGAUCUAUUUCAAUUAGCUAAUGCAUUUGAACUUUUUGUUUUGCCUUUGUAGCCCUUUUGGUACAAAUGUUCCUGGUUCUAUCACUCCAUCCCUCAUUCUUGACAACAAGAUGUUAGCCCUUUCAGUAAGUUUCUUUUAAAUGCGUGGUAAAAUUUAGUAUUAAUAUCUCUUACUCUAUUGCUGAUCACCACUUAACGGUUUCAUCUCUGACAAGAAAGCAUGGUGUGAGUUUACAACAUGGGAUAAGAAUAGACAUUCCUUAAUGAGAAAAUAUUUUUUUUUGUAUUUUGAUGCAAGAUAUACUAAUUGUUGGGGAGGCAGAUGAAUCAAAGAUAACACUGAGAAGGGAACUAUGAUCAAUCUUCCUUCUAAUAGAUUCACAUAACUGAAUAUGUUUCUGGACCCUCUGGUUGCACAAACAGUUUUGAGUUCAAAAUUUAAUAGUACUUAUUUCCCAAGGCAUACAGUGCAAAUUCAGUUUAAGCCCUGAAUAUCUUGACAAUCACUUGGCACAGUUCUGUAGUUCUAACUGACGUUUCUUUUUAUAUGCUUUCCUUUAGUACUUGACUUAGCAUCAACACUUUUUUUUAGUGCACAUUAUAUUAAUGUUCUUUGUUUUUUCAAUAGCAAGGAUAAAGUACUUCAACAACUGGAAAAUAAAAUGAAGUUGCUCGAAGACAAGUUUGAAGAUAUGAUCCUUUGUAUUUUUUCUUAAAAUAGCAGUAUAAAGUUCUUCAACAAGUAGGAGCUCAAAACAUUUGAUUUCUUUUUUUUCUCUUUCCAUGUGCAUAUACAAAGUACAAUGUAUUAUGGAGCGUCGUAUACUUUGAUGUAUAGACUAUUUGGUAAUGAAAACUUCGUACAUAAUUUUGUUUAAGCGUAUUUGAUGGUUUUCAUGAUUAUUUUUGUCAUGUUGAGCAGCUAGCAGGAAUAAUGAUGCCCAUUAAAUUAUUA
RNAcentral lists this long non-coding RNA (2786 nucleotides) under Nicotiana tabacum (common tobacco). RNAcentral's name for it is "long non-coding RNA (NTAB_LNC007747)". Lineage: Eukaryota; Viridiplantae; Streptophyta; Magnoliopsida; Solanales; Solanaceae. The record is from RNAcentral.